Molecule: ribosomal RNA, 301 nt
Filed under: uncultured bacterium
Lineage: Bacteria
Description: partial 16S ribosomal RNA
Rfam family: Bacterial small subunit ribosomal RNA
Source: RNAcentral
CAGCCGCCACGGGAAAACGGAGGGAGCUAGCGUUGUUCGGAAACACUGGGCGCAAAGCGCGCGUAGGCGGCUAUUCAAGUCAGGGGUGAAAGCCCGGGGCUCAACCCCGGAACUGCCUUUGAAACUAGAUAGCUUGAAUCUUGGAGAGGCGAGUGGAAUUCCGAGUGUAGAGGUGAAAUUCGUAGAUAUUCGGAAGAACACCAGUGGCGAAGGCGACUCGCUGGACAAGUAUUGACGCUGAGGUGCGAAAGCGUGGGGAGCAAACAGGAUUAGAUACCCGGGUAGUCCCUGUCUCUUAUAC